Molecule: ribosomal RNA, 30 nt
Filed under: Culicoides deltus
Lineage: Eukaryota; Metazoa; Arthropoda; Insecta; Diptera; Ceratopogonidae
Description: 2S ribosomal RNA
Source: RNAcentral
UGUGUGGGGGACACAUGGUUGAGUGUCGUU